UACGGGGGGGGCAAGCGUUGUUCGGAAUUACUGGGCGUAAAGGGCUCGUAGGUGGCCAACUAAGUCAGACGUGAAAUCCCUCGGCUUAACCGGGGAACUGCAUCUGAUACUGGAUGGCUUGAGUUUGGGAGAGGGAUGCGGAAUUCCAGGUGUAGCGGUGAAAUGCGUAGAUAUCUGGAGGAACACCGGUGGCGAAGGCGGCAUCCUGGACCAACACUGACACUGAGGAGCGAAAGCGUGGGGAGCGAACAGG
Molecule: ribosomal RNA, 253 nt
Filed under: uncultured bacterium
Lineage: Bacteria
Description: partial 16S ribosomal RNA
Rfam family: Bacterial small subunit ribosomal RNA
Source: RNAcentral